RNAcentral lists this ribosomal RNA (497 nucleotides) under uncultured bacterium. RNAcentral describes it as "partial 16S ribosomal RNA". It matches the Rfam family "Bacterial small subunit ribosomal RNA", at positions 28 to 507 of the family's 1533-position model. The record is from RNAcentral.
GAUGAACGCUGGCGGCGUGCCUAAUACAUGCAAGUCGAGCGAACAGACGAGGAGCUUGCUCCUUUGACGUUAGCGGCGGACCGGUGAGUAACACGUGGGUAACCUACCUAUAAGACUGGGAUAACUUCGGGAAACCGGAGCUAAUACCGGAUAAUAUUUCGAACCGCAUGGUUCGAUAGUGAAAGAUGGCUCUGCUAUCACUUAUAGAUGGACCUGCGCCGUAUUAGCUAGUUGGUAAGGUAACGGCUUACCAAGGCAACGAUACGUAGCCGACCUGAGAGGGUGAUCGGCCACACUGGAACUGAGACACGGUCCAGACUCCUACGGGAGGCAGCAGUAGGGAAUCUUCCGCAAUGGGCGAAAGCCUGACGGAGCAACGCCGCGUGAGUGAUGAAGGUCUUCGGAUCGUAAAACUCUGUUAUUAGGGAAGAACAAACGUGUAAGUAACUGUGCACGUCUUGACGGUACCUAAUCAGAAAGCCACGGCUAACUACGUG